CUGAUCUCUCGGUCCACAAAGAGUGAUUUUCUUCCCUAAGAAUUGGACGUGGGUUCUGCCCAUUGUGUCUACCUGGCUGUGCAGCCUGGCAGGAAGCAGGUGGCCCAAGGUGGGACCUGGCUGCCGUGGGUCCCCAUCCCAGUGCCACCCUGCCCCCUGGACGAGAAGCCUGGCAGUGGCCCCCGAGAGUUCGCACGUUUUUCUGUAACAGACCUGAGAGUAGAGGCAGGUGAUGUGAUCCGAGGUGCAAGCGCAGUCCUGCCUCCCAACCAGGUGAGUUUCUUGGCUGCCCUGGGCCUCAAUUUCCUCACCUCUAAAGGGUGGACGCUGAUGCUACCUACCUCACAGGUACAUUUUGAAGGUCAGGUGUAGGUGAAAUGAUGCAUUAGAAGCCCAGUGAAGGCCCAGGGAUGGGAACAAUUGUGGCUUUACAGUAUAAUCCUACAAAUUCUAGAAGUUACAGGAUUAUAGGCUGAAUUAUGUCCCCAAAACAUUCAUCUGUUGACGUCCUAACCCCUAGGAGCUCAGAAUGUGAAAGGAUUUGGAGACAGGGGUCUUUACAAGGGUAAUUACAUGAAAAUGAAGUCCCUAGGGUGGACCCUAAUCCCAUGUGACUGGUGUCCUUAAAAGAAGAGUUGGUUAGGACGCAGACGCACAUGGAGGGAAGACCACCUGAGGACACAGGGAGAAGACGGCAUCUCCAAGCCAAGGAGGGAGCCUCGAAAGGAACCAUCCCUGCCGACACCCUGACCUUGGACUUCCAGCCUCCGAACGGUGAGAAAAUAACUUCUGUUGUUUAAGCCUCCAGCCCUUGGUCCUCUGUGAUGGCCGCCCACGUGAACUGACCACAGGUCCUUAACUGGAAUAUCGGUGUCACCGUUGUUCAUUGUCUGAAUCUCCACCCUGAGGUCCUUACCAUCUAAGCACGCUGCUGAGAGAGCUCGUCUGAGCAGGACACGGCCCCGGCCCCCUUCCCACUCCUGGAGCCCCUCAUCUUCCCAGGGGCCCUGCUCUCCUUCUUCCCAGGACCGUCUCUCCCAGGUGACGGCUCUCGACGCCCCUGGAGGGAAUUUGCUCCUUCCCCCUUCGGGAGCCUCACUCUGCCGUUUCCCGCCCAAGAUGCCCCUCUGGAGGGCACAUCUGCCCUUCAAGGAGGUGGAUUUAAAACUCUCCAAAUACCAACAGGAGACUGUGUUCGAGACUGCUCCACUGGGAUCACCAACACGAUGGUCUCUUAGGGUGGGUUUUUUUUUUUAAUAUCUAACUUUAUUUAUUUAUUCUUAACUUUGAAAAUGUUUGGUGUGGUAAGAACACUUCACAUGAGAUCUACCCACUUAACAAAAUUUUGUUUUUGUUUUUGAUUUUGUUUCUUUGGCUGCACUGCACAGCUUGUGGGAUCUUAGCUCCCUGACCAGGGAUUGAACUCGGGCCCCGGCAGUGAAAGCUCUGAGUCCUAACCACUGGACCACCAGGGGAUUCCCAGCAAAAUUUUAAGUCUAUAAUCCAUCAUUGUUUUUUUAAAUUUAUUUUAAUUUUUAUUGACGUAGAGUUGAUUUACAAUGUUGUGUUACUUUCUGCUGUACAACAAAGUGCUUCAGUUAUAUAUAUAUAUUCUUUUCCAUUAUGGUCUGUUAUAGGAUAUUGGAUAUAGUUCCCUGUGCUCUACAGUAGGUCCUUGUUGUUGUUUAUCUAUUUUUAUCUAUAGUAGUUUGUAUCUGUUAAUCUCAAACUCCUAAUUUACUCCUCCACCACCCCCCUCCCCCUCGGCAACCACAAGUCUGUUCUCUAUGUCUGUAAGUCUGUCUCUGUUUCGUAAAUAAAGUCAUUGGUGUCGAUA
Lagenorhynchus albirostris (white-beaked dolphin) is the source of this 1837-nucleotide long non-coding RNA. RefSeq lists it as uncharacterized. The transcript is spliced from 2 exons. The record is from RefSeq and is a predicted model, not a curated record. NCBI's taxonomy places the organism in Eukaryota, Metazoa, Chordata, Mammalia, Artiodactyla, Delphinidae.